AAAAAAAAAGGGAGAAGAAAUUUUACUUAGAUGAUGAUGUGUGUGCGAUCAUGGUUUGCUACCUAGACAAUUUGAAAUCUUUCCGAACUUUUAAUAAACUCAAAGACAUUUUUGAAAAUGGUUUGGUUUUGCUCUAGAGAAAGAAGACAACUACCCGAGGUAAGUAGUUCUAUGUUAAUUUUACAAUCAUUUGGAAGCCAGCGCAAACUUUCAAACAUUUUAUUUCGUAUGUCUGAAUAUAAU
This 243-nucleotide long non-coding RNA is filed under the name Mytilus galloprovincialis (Mediterranean mussel). Lineage: Eukaryota; Metazoa; Mollusca; Bivalvia; Mytilida; Mytilidae. The record is from RNAcentral.